RNAcentral lists this transfer RNA (76 nucleotides) under Agrobacterium salinitolerans. Its description in RNAcentral is "tRNA-Ile". It matches the Rfam family "tRNA". Rfam says of the family: Transfer RNA (tRNA) molecules are approximately 80 nucleotides in length. Their secondary structure includes four short double-helical elements and three loops (D, anti-codon, and T loops). Further hydrogen bonds mediate the characteristic L-shaped molecular structure. tRNAs have two regions of fundamental functional importance: the anti-codon, which is responsible for specific mRNA codon recognition, and the 3' end, to which the tRNAs corresponding amino acid is attached (by aminoacyl-tRNA synthetases). tRNAs cope with the degeneracy of the genetic code in two manners: having more than one tRNA (with a specific anti-codon) for a particular amino acid; and 'wobble' base-pairing, i.e. permitting non-standard base-pairing at the 3rd anti-codon position. The record is from RNAcentral. Lineage: Bacteria; Pseudomonadati; Pseudomonadota; Alphaproteobacteria; Hyphomicrobiales; Rhizobiaceae.
GCCCGCUUAGCUCAGCUGGUAGAGCACUCGACCGAUAAUCGAGAUGUCGCAAGUUCAAGUCUUGCAGCAGGCACCA